RNAcentral lists this ribosomal RNA (160 nucleotides) under Tokoyo eburnea. RNAcentral describes it as "partial 16S ribosomal RNA". The record is from RNAcentral. Lineage: Eukaryota; Metazoa; Arthropoda; Malacostraca; Decapoda; Leucosiidae.
CUUUAUAUCUACAUUGUAAAAUUUUAGAAGUAAAUUUAAGUAAAAGGUUAUAUAUGAUAUUUGGCUGGGGCGGCAUGGAUAAAAUUUUGUUAACUUUCCUUAAAAAAAUCACUCAUAUGUGAAAAUUUAAAGAUCCUUAUUAAAGAUUAAAAGAAAAGUU